AAAUAUGUUUGUAUAUACUCCGAGAUAGCAUGCGUAAAAAGUCGUAAAAGAAAAAAACAUUCAGAGAUUAGGUAACGGGACCGUGAGUGAAAAGAAAAAUAUUUAAACCAUUUGUUUAUUUAUUUAUUCAUUUUUAAUCAAUAUAACAUUUUAAAAUAAUAAAAUAGUCAAUUUCUGUCGGUUAUAACCGCCACCAUUAACUUAAAAACCGUCAGAAUAUGUUAAAAAUAUUAAAAAAAGAAAAGAAUUCAAAAAUACUGAGGGUUAUAAUAAUUUUAUGGUGGUUGACAGAAAGUAACUUUAAUCCAACAGUAAAUAAAUUAUGUGUCGGAUAUCUUUUAUCCGUCAGAAUGGCUUAUUAACCGCCAGAAUCGUCCGACACCUAAAGCUAAUAUUGUAGUAGUGACACGAGUUCUUCUUACUUGAUCCUCGCGAUUGUUGGCCCUUGCCUCAUCCUCUUCAGCUUUCGUUGGCAUGAAAUUGUAGUAGGAUGUGGUCUUGAUGUUAUUAGGGUUCUUCUUAUUUCCUGUCAUUGCGAUGAGAGAAGGUUGAAUAUUGAAAAUCCAGAUUGUGGUAUGGAUUUUAUAAUGAUACAUGCAUGGUGCGUUAUUAACAAAGUUGUUAAUCUUUAUGUUAACCAAAUCUGGAGCAAUUUCGAGAAGACAUGUAAAGGGAAGUUUUGUGGGUAAACGUAUAAAACUUUUCGUUACUUCCGCAGUUUCCAGAUAUUUAUGAUUUGUGAUGGAUUCUCAUACAAAAACGAAUUUAAUUUGUUCGCAAAUGUUUACACUUAUCACAAUGUUCAUAUCACAUUUAUACCAUCUUUAAUACAGGUAGGGCUUACAAAUAUAAGUGGACCCCACCUCUAUUAGUACAAAUGUUGUAAGUGUAGUAUUUUUUUGUUAAUGAAUUAGUUGCAUGUAUAAGGGUACGUAUUUAACAACUAAAACAAUACACUAUACAAGUGAAUGUGAGACUAAGAGUUCGAGUAUAGUAUCAUUCCGAUUUAAUAACAUAAUGUUAUGUUGAAAAAGACUUCAACAUGACAUUAUCUAUUGGAUCAAAACAUUAAAUAUAAAUUUUUAUUAUCCCAACUUUUUACAUAUGCAUAUAAAAACCUAAUAUCCCUCACAUACAUAAACUACUCAUCUAGGCUCGCUCUAUAAUAUUUUUAAUAACUUGAACCAAGCAUCUUUUAAGUUAUUACUAAAAGAUCAUCUUACAAAAUCGAAAGACGUUUAGUUAUCUAAAUAUGACCUGAUAAAAUAUAUAUCAUUUUACAUUCUUAUAUUUAUACCACUAGUGCUACAACAUAGAAAUAUUUCUCUUCACUUGUAAUUUUAGGUUCAAAACCAGUAAAUAGCAAAUUUGAUAUGUUUUAAUGUUUAGUUUUUAGGAUAAAAUAUUGUUGUAUAUAAAAUUAUUAGUUCUAAGAUUAAUUGGUAAGUUUACGAUAUAAUCUUGAUUUAUCCCAUAACUUGAAAUAAUUAAAUAAAUUUAAUUAAAUAAUCACGUUUACUUUUUUUAUUUAUUAUUACAAACAAUAUUACUAUCUCAAAUUACACUGAAAAAGGACAAGAAUGAUUCAAAGAAUUGACCCAAUGAUUUAAUAAGGAAGACUCAAUUUUGCCACGAGAAUCCACGACUUCUUACAUUUACAUUUUACUUUUAAUAAAAUGUAUAAUGGGGCAUAUAAUUUAUUGAAUAACAAAGCUAACAAUUUAUAUACAACUAUUACAUACUUCUUUUGGGACUUUUUCUUUUUAUUCGAACAAGAAAGGGAGAUCAUACUCAAUAUAUGCGGUGCAAUGGUAAUACUCCUGACCAAUUUAAGUUACAAUUAUCCCACUAAACAAUAAACCAUACAAGUGAGGAUGAGACUAAUUAAGAGU
This 1892-nucleotide long non-coding RNA is filed under the name Malus domestica (apple). RNAcentral's name for it is "long non-coding RNA (MDOM_LNC012054)". Lineage: Eukaryota; Viridiplantae; Streptophyta; Magnoliopsida; Rosales; Rosaceae. The record is from RNAcentral.